UGCUUAACACAUGCAAGUCGAACGGCAGCACGGUCUAGCUUGCUAGAUGGGUGGCGAGUGGCGAACGGGUGAGUAACGCGUAGGAAUAUGCCUUAAAGAUUGGGAUAACAUGGGGAAACACAUGCUAAUACCGAAUGAGCUCUUAGGAGGAAAGCUGGGGACCGCAAGGCCUGGCGCUUUAAGAUUAGCCUGCGUCCGAUUAGCUAGUUGGUAGGGUAAAGGCCUACCAAGGCGACGAUCGGUAGCUGGUCUGAGAGGAUGGCCAGCCACACUGGGACUGAGACACGGCCCAGACUCCUACGGGAGGCAGCAGUGGGGAAUAUUGGACAAUGGGGGCAACCCUGAUCCAGCAAUGCCGCGUGUGUGAAGAAGGCCUGAGGGUUGUAAAGCACUUUCAGUGGGGAGGAGGAUUGAUUGGUUAAGAGCUGAUUGAUUGGACGUUACCUACAGAAGAAGCACCGGCUAACUCCGUGCCAGCAGCCGCGGUAAUACGGAGGGUGCGAGCGUUAAUCGGAAUUACUGGG
Molecule: ribosomal RNA, 524 nt
Filed under: Legionella drozanskii
Lineage: Bacteria; Pseudomonadati; Pseudomonadota; Gammaproteobacteria; Legionellales; Legionellaceae
Description: bacterial SSU rRNA
Rfam family: Bacterial small subunit ribosomal RNA
Source: RNAcentral